GCCUUAGCUCAGUGGUAGAGCAUCUGCCUUGCAUACAGGAGAUCCCAGGUUCAAUACCUGGCAGCUCCA
Podarcis lilfordi (Lilford's wall lizard) is the source of this 69-nucleotide non-coding RNA. Lineage: Eukaryota; Metazoa; Chordata; Lepidosauria; Squamata; Lacertidae. The record is from the annotation of a GenBank genome assembly.